UUUUUUUAUGCGGAGAGUUUGAUCCUGGCUCAGGAUGAACGCUGGCGGUGUGCCUAAUACAUGCAAGUCGAACGAAGAGCCUUUUUACUUGUAUUCGUACUCGUAGAGAGGAUUUCUUAGUGGCGAACGGGUGAGUAUCGCGUUGGUGACCUGCCCCAAAGAGAGGAAUAACAGAACGAAAGAUCUGCUAAUACCUCAUGUUGUCAUGGUUUUUAGAAAUCCAUGUCUAAAGGAAUUUAUUUCGCUUUGGGAGGGGCCUGCGUCCCAUCAGCUAGUUGGUAAGGUAACGGCUUACCAAGGCUAUGACGGGUAGGGGACCUGAGAGGGUGGCCCCCCACAAUGGAACUGAAACACGGUCCAUACACCUACGGGUGGCAGCAGUAGGGAAUAUUGCACAAUGGGCGAAAGCCUGAUGCAGCAAC
This 422-nucleotide ribosomal RNA is filed under the name Anaerolineae bacterium. Its description in RNAcentral is "bacterial SSU rRNA". It matches the Rfam family "Bacterial small subunit ribosomal RNA", at positions 1 to 395 of the family's 1533-position model. Lineage: Bacteria; Bacillati; Chloroflexota; Anaerolineae. The record is from RNAcentral.